This 497-nucleotide ribosomal RNA is filed under the name uncultured bacterium. RNAcentral's name for it is "bacterial SSU rRNA". It matches the Rfam family "Bacterial small subunit ribosomal RNA", at positions 899 to 1397 of the family's 1533-position model. The record is from RNAcentral.
ACUCAAAGGAAUUGACGGGGGCCCGCACAAGCAGCGGAGCAUGUGGUUUAAUUCGAAGCAACGCGAAGAACCUUACCAAGGCUUGACAUCCCCUGGAUGCGCCGUAAUGGGCGCCGGCCCGCAAGGGACAGGGAGACAGGUGGUGCAUGGUUGUCGUCAGCUCGUGUCGUGAGAUGUUGGGUUAAGUCCCGCAACGAGCGCAACCCUUGCCGAUAGUUACCAGUAUUAAGUUAGGGACUCUAUCGGGACUGCCGUGGACAACACGGAGGAAGGUGGGGACGACGUCAAAUCAUCAUGCCCCUUAUGUCUUGGGCUACACACGUGCUACAAUGGCCGCAACAGAGGGCAGCGAAGCAGCAAUGCGGAGCGAAUCUCAAAAAAGCGGUCUCAGUUCAGAUUGUGGGCUGCAACCCGCCCACAUGAAGACGGAGUUGCUAGUAAUCGCGAAUCAGCAUGUCGCGGUGAAUGCGUUCCCGGGCCUUGUACACACCGCCCGU